Mus musculus (house mouse) is the source of this 3178-nucleotide long non-coding RNA. RefSeq annotates it as predicted gene, 30501. NCBI's taxonomy places the organism in Eukaryota, Metazoa, Chordata, Mammalia, Rodentia, Muridae. The record is from RefSeq and is a predicted model, not a curated record. The transcript is spliced from 5 exons.
GGAGCAGGGGGUGGGGGGUGGGGGCUUUGAUAUGUUAAUUAAUGUUUCUUCUUUCCUUUUUUAUUCCCAUAAAUAUUCACAAAGAGACUGGGUGGUCAUCAGGUUGACUCAGAGAGAGGGUAUCUCAUUUCUGAACCCCAAAACUCAAAGGCAUUCUGGUACUCUAGAUGAAGAAUGAGGUAAGCACUUCUCAGAAUUCCUGCUUUGGAGCACAUGAAGAUACAUUCCCACAGAUAAGGCUGCAGGAGGAAAUUAAAAAGGCAAGAAAAUUUGCUUUGUUGAAUCAACAAGAAGGGGCUGUGUGCCUAUGCCCUUCUCCCAAGGCCAAGUACAGCAUAGAGAUGUACUUGGAGGAGAUGAAUCCUGAGAUAGAGUGGGGAACUCUAUAAAAGAGUCUCCCAUCUUGGAACCUGAGUCUCCAAAUAUAUCAGGACCCCAGAAUGUAAGCAAUAAGUAAGAGUCUAGCAGAGAAGUGGUCUACGUGCAGGCUGUGGAGGGGACCCUGAGAUGGACUCAUAGAGAGGGCCCUGCAUGGGGAAGGCAUGAAGACAUGUAAACAAAAUAAAAGAUAAAAUACUGUACAAGGAGAGAAAGUAGUGAUCCAGAUGGAUUGAGAGCAAGAGAGAGGGACCCAACAAUUUGACAGGGGCAACCAAAUGAGGCAGACACUAAUACCAUGGCCAAAUGCCCUCCUCCAGUCCCACUACCAUGACUGGACAGAGGGUAACAGCUUGUGCCCUCGAAAUCCUGGCAAGGCUACCCAUCCUCAACAAGCCAAUUAAAAUAGCCAAAUGGAUGGGGAAAAGCAGAUGUGUGGCCACAUCAGGAGAAGAGAGAAAGAUAGUUACCUCUCCAAAUCCAUUUUCAGGGUCUUAACUAAGCAGCCAGAAGCAAGAUGUGGUACCUACUACUCCAAGGCUCUCUUGCAUGGUAGCCUGACAAGCUCCUCAUCUGGCUACCAGGACCUCAGCCUUUUCAGUAACAACCAGACCCUGACUCCCUCACCUUCAAUUGGGAAGACAUUGUCUCAGGAUCCCACCAUCCCAGUCCUCCUGACUACUUCCAGGGAUAAAUUGACUUGUUCUUCCUUUCGCUCCUAUUCCUCAUCCUUGUGACAAAGUGAAUACAGGGUGUCAUGCCCCACAUGACUUGGUCCUGGAAACCUGACUUGGAUGAAGAAAGAAAACAGGACAGAUCCAGGGACACAACGCUGGAUGGAAACACAUCACCAACCACAACCAGGGACUCGGCAGCUUUAUUUUCCACGGGGAAUGAAAGAGUCAGGAUGAGUCAUGUGUGGAACAAAGCUGGCCUGAAGACUGUGGGAAUCAGCACCUGAAAGCAUUUGCAGCAGGUGCAUGCGCAGGUCCCUCUCCACCUGCGUGUCCAGCUGCUGCAGCACCGAGAUGAAUGCCUGGGACCCAGCAAUCCAUCAGAUCGCCCCACUGCAGCUGCAGAUGACAGUCCAGAUGUUCACUCACGCUGCAGAAGGGCUGAGCCCAGGAUGUUCAACAGAAUUGGAAUCCACCUGCCUGAUGCUGGCGCUGUUUCCUCUUAUGCAGUCUCUGCAUGCUAGAUGACAAGAUGUAAAGAAAAAUUACUAAUUAAUGCUCUGCUGGCUCCAAAACAGCAAUAGAGAGGAAAUUCUUCUUUCACUUUAGCUCCUGCAUGAGCCUCAAGCUCUGUUCAUUAAUAGUUUGGAGCCUGUGCUCAGCCUUGAAGCUUCCACCAAUCUUGUGGCUCAAACUGCCCAUCCCUGGACCUCGAGUUCAAUUCUGGAGACACAAUGAGGUGUCCUCAACUGAAUGACAGAAACACCCUCACAGGACCCCCUCAUUUAAGAAGCUUCUUUUUAGAAGAGAUAGAAACCAUCAAAAAAAUUCAUAACUGGGAAAAAUGCAGGGAGUUACUGACCUGGGGUGGGCGGCAGCUCCACCUGAUGCAUCUACAACACAAUCCCUGUCCCGGUGGACCAGAGAACCAGAGAACCAGAGAACCAGAGGACCAGGACUUCUGCUAUAUGUUAGGAAGCUGCACCCAUGACUCUUAACAACAUGGUCAUCUAAAUAAGAACAGCAUAUGACAAUAUGUUAGCACACCAAUGUAGAUGAAGGAGUUCUCACAAUGCCCUACCCCAGGUGAAGAACUCUUAAUGGUUGCUAAGAGAAGAGAAUCCAUCUUCACCAGGGACAAGCCCCUGUAAGGGACCUGUAUUCAGGGCCAUAGGCUCUAUCCGGAGUGAGCUCUAGCCUCCUCCCUGACCCCACAGCUCCACCAUGUGUUGAGGAUCUCCUAUGCCUGUGUGGAUUCUCCUGAGUCAGCUUCUGCUUGCUCCCUGGCUCUGCAGAGUCUGCCAUGAAGCAUGGAGCUCCCUACUCCUGUGAGCCCAGCUCCAGUCCCCUCCUUGAGUCUUCAGCUUCUGCCACGCACCAUGGGACUUUGUCACAUCUGUCUUCCUUUAAAACUGGCUAAGGAGAUGGCUCAGUGUUUAAAGUGCUUAUAAUACAAGCAUGAACUCAGGAGUUUAAAUCCCCAGCACCUACAUAAAUUUGGACAUGAUGGUGCAUAUAUCCUUAAUUCCAGUGUUCCUACAGGGAAACAGGAGAUACAUAGGAGAAGCCUCAAAAGCUCUAAGUCAACUCACCUGGCAUUGGUAACAAAGCAAAGACCCUGUUGCAAAUUAGGUGCUCCACCAACCUGCCUUUAAGUGACGUGGUGCCAGCAGAUGACAUCGUUCCCACUGCCUGGUGCAUUUCCACUGUCCCUGUGAGUUGCUGCUACCCAAGAUCACUCUCUCUGGCUUGUUUGUUUUCUCUGUCUGUCUGCCUACCUGCCUGCUGGCCUGCCUGUCUGUCUCUAUCUCUCUCUGCCCCCACUCUGGGAAAGCCUUUUGCUCUUUCUCCCUCUCCAAACAAACCUCUUAUACUAGAUCUAUUGCUUGGUGUGAUCUCUUUGCCCAAUCUGCCAAGGUUCCCCUACCACUUUAUUCUAGUAGACUCUAUUUCCAACAAACUGAAAGAUGAGGACUGGCAGGUGGAGUUGUCCUUGGACCUCCUCAUGUGCCAGUAGACAUAUAGCUGCAGCACCACUUGCUAGCACACUCUCUCUACUACCCCCCAUCUCUCCUUCCCUACCCCACCCCCCCUCUCUGAGAGGGAGAGAUGAAAUAAAGGAACAU